RNAcentral lists this transfer RNA (67 nucleotides) under Versteria mustelae. Its description in RNAcentral is "tRNA-Ala". It matches the Rfam family "tRNA". Rfam says of the family: Transfer RNA (tRNA) molecules are approximately 80 nucleotides in length. The record is from RNAcentral. Lineage: Eukaryota; Metazoa; Platyhelminthes; Cestoda; Cyclophyllidea; Taeniidae.
AACAAUAUAGUUUAAUUGAAAAAUAUUGAGUUUGCGUCUCGAAGAUGGAUAGUAUUUUCUUUUGUUA